GUGGAGUGGGUGCGAGCAGGCGCUGGAUGUCAGAUGGUUGAGGCGUUAAUGGGAAGUCCUGGGAGUAAAGUGCGGGUAGGUGGUUACGUAAGAGUGGUGUGAAAGCCCCGGGUUUAAACGUGGAAUUGUGUUCAUAACUGGUGAGCUAGGGGACGGUAGGGGGUAGUGGAAUUUCCUGUGUAGCGGUGAAAUGCGUAGAUAUAGGAAGGAACACCAGUGGCGAAGGCGACUACCUGGACUGAUACUGACACUGAGGUGCGAAAGCGUGGGGAGCAAACAGGAUUAGAUACCCGAGUAGUC
RNAcentral lists this ribosomal RNA (300 nucleotides) under uncultured Paenibacillus sp. Its description in RNAcentral is "bacterial SSU rRNA". It matches the Rfam family "Bacterial small subunit ribosomal RNA", at positions 496 to 795 of the family's 1533-position model. Lineage: Bacteria; Bacillati; Bacillota; Bacilli; Caryophanales; Paenibacillaceae. The record is from RNAcentral.